This 433-nucleotide ribosomal RNA is filed under the name uncultured bacterium. RNAcentral's name for it is "partial 16S ribosomal RNA". It matches the Rfam family "Bacterial small subunit ribosomal RNA", at positions 29 to 507 of the family's 1533-position model. The record is from RNAcentral.
AACGAACGCUGGCGGCAUGCCUAACACAUGCAAGUCGAACGAGACCUUCGGGUCUAGUGGCGCACGGGUGCGUAACGCGUGGGAACCUGCCCUUAGGUUCGGAAUAACUCCCCGAAAGGGGUGCUAAUACCGGAUAAUGUCUUCGGACCAAAGAUUUAUCGCCUUUGGAUGGGCCCGCGUUGGAUUAGCUAGUUGGUAGGGUAAAAGCCUACCAAGGCGACGAUCCAUAGCUGGUCUGAGAGGAUGAUCAGCCACACUGGGACUGAGACACGGCCCAGACUCCUUCGGGAGGUAGCAGUGGGGAAUAUUGGACAAUGGGCGAAAGCCUGAUCCAGCAAUGCCGCGUGAGUGAUGAAGGCCUUAGGGUUGUAAAGCUCUUUUACCCGGGAUGAUAAUGACAGUACCGGGAGAAUAAGCUCCGGCUAACUCCGUG